UUCCAGAACCGGAAGCAAGUCCUGCCAUAGAGACGUUGAUUGCAAUAUCAUCACRAAGCAUCAAAGUCACAAUUAAGUUCACGCAAAGAGACGAGUUAAAUGGGCCACUGGCGGGAUACAGAAUUUUGUAUCGACCCGAAGGAGGAGAAGAGAUGCAGACGGAUGUAGGUAUCGUUACCAUGGUAACGUUGACGAACCUUAAAAAGUACACAGUCUACAG
Molecule: long non-coding RNA, 220 nt
Organism: Actinia tenebrosa (Australian red waratah sea anemone)
Lineage: Eukaryota; Metazoa; Cnidaria; Anthozoa; Actiniaria; Actiniidae
Source: RefSeq, a predicted model, not a curated record